This 564-nucleotide ribosomal RNA is filed under the name uncultured archaeon. RNAcentral's name for it is "bacterial SSU rRNA". It matches the Rfam family "Archaeal small subunit ribosomal RNA", at positions 313 to 879 of the family's 1478-position model. The record is from RNAcentral.
GCGAUUCGCCCUUCGGGGCGCACCAGGCGCGAAAACUCCACAAUGUACGGAAGUACGAUGGGGUUAUCUCGAGUGCAGUCCGAUAAGGGCUGCUUUUCCAUAGAGUAAUAUCCUGUGGGAAUAAGAGGGGGGCAAGACUGGUGUCAGCCGCCGCGGUAACACCAGCCCCUCGAGUGGUGGGGACUAUUAUUUGGCCUAAAGCGUCCGUAGCUGGCUGUAUCCGUCCCCCGUUAAAUCCAGCGUCCUAAGCGUUGGACUGCGGGUGAUACCAUACAGCUAGAGGGUGGGAUAGGUGAGCGGUAUUUCUGGGGUAGGGGCGAAAUCCUUUGAUCCCAGGAGGACCACCAGUGGCGAAGGCUGCUCACUAGAACACGCCUGACGGUCAGGGACGAAAGCUGGGGCAGCGAACCGGAUUAGAUACCCGGGUAGUCCCAGCUGUAAACGAUGCUGCUAUGGUGUUGGGUCGGCCACGUGCCGCCCCAGUGCCGCAGGGAAGCCGUUAAGCUAUCCGCCUGGGGAGUACGGCCGCAAGGCUGAAACUUAAAGGAAUUGGCGGGGGAGCAC